This 1342-nucleotide ribosomal RNA is filed under the name uncultured bacterium. Its description in RNAcentral is "bacterial SSU rRNA". It matches the Rfam family "Bacterial small subunit ribosomal RNA", at positions 28 to 1381 of the family's 1533-position model. The record is from RNAcentral.
GACGAACGCUGGCGGCGUGCUUAACACAUGCAAGUCGAACGAUGAUGCCCAGCUUGCUGGGUGGAUUAGUGGCGAACGGGUGAGUAACACGUGAGUAACCUGCCCCUGACUCUGGGAUAAGCGUUGGAAACGACGUCUAAUACUGGAUAUGAUCACCGGCCGCAUGGUCUGGUGGUGGAAAGAUUUUUUGGUUGGGGAUGGACUCGCGGCCUAUCAGCUUGUUGGUGAGGUAAUGGCUCACCAAGGCGACGACGGGUAGCCGGCCUGAGAGGGUGACCGGCCACACUGGGACUGAGACACGGCCCAGACUCCUACGGGAGGCAGCAGUGGGGAAUAUUGCACAAUGGGCGAAAGCCUGAUGCAGCAACGCCGCGUGAGGGAUGACGGCCUUCGGGUUGUAAACCUCUUUUAGUAGGGAAGAAGCGAAAGUGACGGUACCUGCAGAAAAAGCACCGGCUAACUACGUGCCAGCAGCCGCGGUAAUACGUAGGGUGCAAGCGUUGUCCGGAAUUAUUGGGCGUAAAGAGCUCGUAGGCGGUUUGUCGCGUCUGCUGUGAAAUCCCGAGGCUCAACCUCGGGCUUGCAGUGGGUACGGGCAGACUAGAGUGCGGUAGGGGAGAUUGGAAUUCCUGGUGUAGCGGUGGAAUGCGCAGAUAUCAGGAGGAACACCGAUGGCGAAGGCAGAUCUCUGGGCCGUAACUGACGCUGAGGAGCGAAAGCGUGGGGAGCGAACAGGAUUAGAUACCCUGGUAGUCCACGCCGUAAACGUUGGGCGCUAGAUGUAGGGACCUUUCCACGGUUUCUGUGUCGUAGCUAACGCAUUAAGCGCCCCGCCUGGGGAGUACGGCCGCAAGGCUAAAACUCAAAGGAAUUGACGGGGGCCCGCACAAGCGGCGGAGCAUGCGGAUUAAUUCGAUGCAACGCGAAGAACCUUACCAAGGCUUGACAUACACCGGAAACGGCCAGAGAUGGUCGCCCCCUUGUGGUCGGUGUACAGGUGGUGCAUGGUUGUCGUCAGCUCGUGUCGUGAGAUGUUGGGUUAAGUCCCGCAACGAGCGCAACCCUCGUUCUAUGUUGCCAGCGCGUUAUGGCGGGGACUCAUAGGAGACUGCCGGGGUCAACUCGGAGGAAGGUGGGGAUGACGUCAAAUCAUCAUGCCCCUUAUGUCUUGGGCUUCACGCAUGCUACAAUGGCCGGUACAAAGGGCUGCGAUACCGUAAGGUGGAGCGAAUCCCAAAAAGCCGGUCUCAGUUCGGAUUGAGGUCUGCAACUCGACCUCAUGAAGUCGGAGUCGCUAGUAAUCGCAGAUCAGCAACGCUGCGGUGAAUACGUUCCCGGGCCU